CCUACGGGGGACAGCAGUGGGGAAUAUUGGACAAUGGGGGGAACCCUGAUCCAGCCAUGCCGCGUGUGUGAAGAAGGCCCUCGGGUUGUAAAGCACUUUCAGUGAGGAAGAACGCCUGGUGGUUAAUACCCAUCAGGAAAGACAUCACUCACAGAAGAAGCACCGGCUAACUCCGUGCCAGCAGCCGCGGUAAUACGGAGGGUGCGAGCGUUAAUCGGAAUUACUGGGCGUAAAGCGCGCGUGGGUGGCUUGAUAAGCCGGUUGUGAAAGCCCCGGGCUCAACCUGGGAACGGCAUCCGGAACUGUCAAGCUAGAGUGCAGGAGAGGAAGGUAGAAUUCCCGGUGUAGCGGUGAAAUGCGUAGAGAUCGGGAGGAAUACCAGUGGCGAAGGCGGCCUUCUGGACUGACACUGACACUGAGGUGCGAAAGCGUGGGUAGCAAACAGGAUUAGAUACCCCUGUAGUC
RNAcentral lists this ribosomal RNA (465 nucleotides) under Vreelandella stevensii. Its description in RNAcentral is "partial 16S ribosomal RNA". It matches the Rfam family "Bacterial small subunit ribosomal RNA", at positions 338 to 795 of the family's 1533-position model. The record is from RNAcentral. Lineage: Bacteria; Pseudomonadati; Pseudomonadota; Gammaproteobacteria; Oceanospirillales; Halomonadaceae.